AUACGGAGGAUCCGAGCGUUAUCCGGAUUUAUUGGGUUUAAAGGGUGCGCAGGCGGCCAUUUAAGUCAGCGGUUAAAUCGUGGGGCUCCACCCCAUUCUGCCGUUGAUACUGGGUGGCUUGAUUGCGGUCGAGGUUGGCGGAAUUCGUUGUGUAGCGGUGAAAUGCAUAGAUAUGACGAAGAACACCGAUUGCGUAGGCAGCUGACCAGACCGCAAAUGACGCUCAUGCACGAAAGUGCGGGGAUCGGACAGGAUUAGAUACCCUGGUAGUCCGCACAGUAAACGAUGAAUACUUGUUUUCGGCGAUAUAAUGUCAGAGGCAAAGCGAAAGCGAUAAGUAUUCCACCUGGGGAGUACGCCGGCAACGGUGAAACUCAAAGGAAUUGGCGGGG
RNAcentral lists this ribosomal RNA (392 nucleotides) under uncultured bacterium. RNAcentral describes it as "partial 16S ribosomal RNA". It matches the Rfam family "Bacterial small subunit ribosomal RNA", at positions 523 to 918 of the family's 1533-position model. The record is from RNAcentral.